UUAACCAGCGGUCUACCAUGCAGUCGACGGAAGGCCCCUUCGGGGGUGCUCGAGUGGCGAACGGGUGAGUAACACGUGGGUGAUCUGCCCUGCACUUUGGGAUAAGCCUGGGAAACUGGGUCUAAUACCGAAUACACCCUGCUGGUCGCAUGGCCUGGUGGGGGAAAGCUUUUGCGGUGUGGGAUGGGCCCGCGGCCUAUCAGCUUGUUGGUGGGGUGAUGGCCUACCAAGGCGACGACGGGUAGCCGGCCUGAGAGGGUGUCCGGCCACACUGGGACUGAGAUACGGCCCAGACUCCUACGGGAGGCAGCAGUGGGGAAUAUUGCACAAUGGGCGCAAGCCUGAUGCAGCGACGCCGCGUGGGGGAUGACGGCCUUCGGGUUGUAAACCCCUUUCAGUAUCGACGAAGCCGUGAGGUGACGGUAGGUACAGAAGAAGCACCGGCCAACUACGUGCCAGCAGCCGCGGUAAUACGUAGGGUGCGAGCGUUGUCCGGAAUUACUGGGCGUAAAGAGCUCGUAGGUGGUUUGUCGCGUUGUCCGUGAAAACUCACAGCUUAACUGUGGGCGUGCGGGCGAUACGGGCAGACUGGAGUACUGCAGGGGAGACUGGAAUUCCUGGUGUAGCGGUGGAAUGCGCAGAUAUCAGGAGGAACACCGGUGGCGAAGGCGGGUCUCUGGGCAGUAACUGACGCUGAGGAGCGAAAGCGUGGGGAGCGAACAGGAUUAGAUACCCUGGUAGUCCACGCCGUAAACGGUGGGUACUAGGUGUGGGUUUCCUUCCUUGGGAUCCGUGCCGUAGCUAACGCAUUAAGUACCCCGCCUGGGGAGUACGGCCGCAAGGCUAAAACUCAAAGGAAUUGACGGGGGCCCGCACAAGCGGCGGAACAUGUGGAUUAAUUCGAUGCAACGCGAAGAACCUUACCUGGGUUUGACAUG
Molecule: ribosomal RNA, 938 nt
Filed under: Mycobacterium sp.
Lineage: Bacteria; Bacillati; Actinomycetota; Actinomycetes; Mycobacteriales; Mycobacteriaceae
Description: bacterial SSU rRNA
Rfam family: Bacterial small subunit ribosomal RNA
Source: RNAcentral